AGGACGAACGCUGGCGGCGUGCUUAACACAUGCAAGUCGAGCGAUGAAGCUUUCUUCGGAAAGUGGAUUAGCGGCGGACGGGUGAGUAACACGUGGGUAACCUGCCUCAUAGAGGGGAAUAGCCUUUCGAAAGGAAGAUUAAUACCGCAUAAGAUUGUAAUAUCGCAUGAUAUAGCAAUUAAAGGAGUAAUCCGCUAUGAGAUGGACCCGCGUCGCAUUAGCUAGUUGGUGAGGUAACGGCUCACCAAGGCGACGAUGCGUAGCCGACCUGAGAGGGUGAUCGGCCACAUUGGGACUGAGACACGGCCCAGACUCCUACGGGAGGCAGCAGUGGGGAAUAUUGCACAAUGGGGGAAACCCUGAUGCAGCGACGCCGCGUGGAGGAAGAAGGUCUUCGGAUUGUAAACUCCUGUUGUUGGGGAAGAUAAUGACGGUACCCAACAAGGAAGUGACGGCUAACUACGUG
RNAcentral lists this ribosomal RNA (466 nucleotides) under uncultured bacterium. Its description in RNAcentral is "bacterial SSU rRNA". It matches the Rfam family "Bacterial small subunit ribosomal RNA", at positions 26 to 507 of the family's 1533-position model. The record is from RNAcentral.